RNAcentral lists this ribosomal RNA (527 nucleotides) under uncultured bacterium. Its description in RNAcentral is "bacterial SSU rRNA". It matches the Rfam family "Bacterial small subunit ribosomal RNA", at positions 776 to 1301 of the family's 1533-position model. The record is from RNAcentral.
AAAUAGAUACCCGGGUAGUCCACGCCGUAAACGAUGAGUGCUAAGUGUUAGAGGGUUUCCGCCCUUUAGUGCUGCAGCUAACGCAUUAAGCACUCCGCCUGGGGAGUACGGUCGCAAGACUGAAACUCAAAGGAAUUGAUGGGGGCCCGCACAAGCGGUGGAGCAUGUGGUUUAAUUCGAAGCAACGCGAAGAACCUUACCAGGUCUUGACAUCCUCUGACAACUCUAGAGAUAGAGCGUUCCCCUUCGGGGGACAGAGUGACAGGUGGUGCAUGGUUGUCGUCAGCUCGUGUCGUGAGAUGUUGGGUUAAGUCCCGCAACGAGCGCAACCCUUGAUCUUAGUUGCCAGCAUUUAGUUGGGCACUCUAAGGUGACUGCCGGUGACAAACCGGAGGAAGGUGGGGAUGACGUCAAAUCAUCAUGCCCCUUAUGACCUGGGCUACACACGUGCUACAAUGGAUGGUACAAAGGGCUGCGAGACCGCGAGGUCAAGCCAAUCCCAUAAAACCAUUCUCAGUUCGGAUUGU